UGAUAACAGCAACUGAAUAAACAUAUGGCGACUUAUGAAUUUUACUGACAUUACAAGCAUGACACGGAACAACGAAGGACUUAUUCUUAACAAAAGAAAGACUCUAACUGGACAGAACACGAUGGACAACACGAUCAUUAGCAUGACCGAGACCUGCAUGCCAUGUGCUAAGUUCCACAAUGUGUGCUUCAGGCUUGAUAGGAUUCAAAGAAAGCGGCAUGGUGUAAAGGCCCCCAUUACUCCGGCCUGUGUAUAAGACCUGCCUCGUGGGGAUAUCCAGUGUGGGUAAUAGGGAAGGUAUUACCAUUUCCAACAAGAAUUUCGUCAGAGCCCUGAUAAGGAGUGAGAUUGGAAACAUUCCCCGUUUCAUUAGUGAGAUGAUGGUUAGCGCCAGAGUCAACUGUCUAUUGAGCCAUGGAAGGAUUGUUAG
This 430-nucleotide unclassified non-coding RNA is filed under the name Hevea brasiliensis (rubber tree). Lineage: Eukaryota; Viridiplantae; Streptophyta; Magnoliopsida; Malpighiales; Euphorbiaceae. The record is from RNAcentral.